RNAcentral lists this long non-coding RNA (1341 nucleotides) under Strigops habroptila (Kakapo). RNAcentral's name for it is "lncRNA (ENSSHBG00005000092.1)". Lineage: Eukaryota; Metazoa; Chordata; Aves; Psittaciformes; Psittacidae. The record is from RNAcentral.
AGCAUUUUAUUUCAAAAUAUAUUAACCAUUCUGUGCUUACAAAGGACUGCUGUGUGAAUACAAUAUUAAGUUAAAAGCUUUUUAAACCUGCUACAAAGAAAACGUUUUUAUUAGGAAGAGGACUGGUGCAUACAAUCAAAAUAGUUUAAAUACCUCUGCAGUCCACACAAGUAUUUCUCAAUUUUAACUCACACGUUUUGUUCCGCCACAGAGGGACACAGGGGUUAUAUUUUCAAUAUUAUACAUGCAAAACCAGGUACCGUACCAAAACCAAUUAUGAUAACACCAGUUUUGAACAUCGUUCCACUCUGAAGAUGUAUCACAUGUACAGUUAAAAAUAAAAUUUGUGUCAACAAACAGUAGAAGUUAUUGCUCCAGAUCCCCACAGGUGCUGGGUCGGAAUGCACGCUUUAGAACCACCCGUGCUCCAUAAUGUGAAAGAUAUGCUGUUGGGUUUAAGUAGGGUCUAGCCAGUCUCAGGACAUGGUGUCAAAGCUUUCUUUGGAUUUGGUUUGGUGAGAUUUACCAAAGGAAAAAAAAAACCUUCCCUAAUCUUCCGAAUAAAACAUCAAACACUAGUUAACAUACAUAUAUAUAUAUUAUCUGUAUAGGUAAACACCUAUUGGUAUAAAAAGUUGGUUUCCAACAAUCAUUGAAGCAUAGAAAAUUCAUUUUAAAGGUAAGCAAUCCAAACAAAUUUUAUGCUUGCAGAACAUACAAGUGAUGACAGAUGACGGAAACUGAAAACAUUGAUCUACACAGGCAGGAAGAUACAAACACCACAAAAAUAUUUCUUACUGAUACUUCUUGAAAAAGCUUCAGUUUUGGGCUGAGACUGGCAGAAAGGGGCCCAAAAUGCGGAUUUUGAUUCCCUCCCCUUAUGGCCUGGAUGCCAGUUUUUAAGCUCUGUGAACUUUUGUUCUGUGGCUACUAUUUGGCUUUGUGAUUCCUCUUGCAUUUAAUCUACACCAAUACCAUAAAAAGUUACUUUGACUUUAGGUGCUCAUUGGAUCAUUGUAUGUAACAGUCAAGUGACAAAAAGUGAGGCUAGGAAAAGAAAUCAACAUUUUUGCUACACACCAUCACGACGAAAAUUCUUCUUAUAUGUGGAUGUUAGAGCACUCACUCUGUCUUUAUAAGCUUACAAAUGCAUCCUGCUGCAAGCAGAUAUACCCUGCUUCUAACACAACUCUAGCUUUAGUAUCACCAUACAGUGCUAUAAUUCAAAGAAUAAUCUCUAAUUCAACGCAACAUGAAUUAUGUUUAUCCAAGCCCAUCCAUAUGCAGAGCACAUCAAGGAUGCAUUUACUUGCCAAUUAGCAAUUCCUUCCUGAACUGGAC